This 29604-nucleotide long non-coding RNA is filed under the name Solanum tuberosum (potato). Its description in RNAcentral is "long non-coding RNA (STUB_LNC010625)". Lineage: Eukaryota; Viridiplantae; Streptophyta; Magnoliopsida; Solanales; Solanaceae. The record is from RNAcentral.
AUAUUUCAGGCGUAUCAAUUCAAAAGUCAGGAAAAGAAUCAAAUCUUGACAUAAUGUUUUCUACCUCUUUGCACAAAAAAAGACGGAGAUGAAGAAAUUGGUGUGUCUUGAUUUCGUCCAACUCCUUACCUAAUACCACCAGGGAGUCCUCAUUCCUGGUUAAACAUACCAAAUCAAAAAUCAACUAUUACCAAAUUCAAUUACAAUAUUAAGAAAGAAACACUAAAAAAUAUUGCAUAUUAUCAACUGAAAACAUGAACUACCAACAUCAUUUUCAACAUAGCCACAAAAAAUGUUUACCUUAUCAAAAACCAAAAUAAAAUAAAAUUUUGAAGUAGGUUAGAUAUUGAUACAUUAAUAGGCUCAUAAAGUGAUAAAUUAUACUCUAAUUUUUAUCAAGAAUGAGAAGUUUUUCCAACUAUUAGCAACAACUACUAUGAAUCUAUUAUCACUAACAACUUAGCAUUAACUAAUUUACUUGUGGUGCAAAAGAGAAAAUGACCACACCUCAUUACAAAACUAAACUGACUCAUAAGACUAUUGUAUUUUUGUGGACUAAUGAGUGUGAGGUGAUAUUCUAAAAGCUCAAGGAUUUAUUGACCGUAUGUCACGCCCCAAAAUAGGGGGCGUAAUUGGCACUCGAUACCUAUUCGAUCGAGUUACCCACUAAAACAUACUAGCUAACCAAACUGUGAGACAAAAAGAUUGGGCAGCAUAACCUCUAAAAAGUGAAGCCUGGAUCCUGAAGGUCAUGACCUAAAUGAGAAUAAACCAUACAAACAAUGGUAGACAAGCCAAAAAAAUAAAGAUGUACUAGUUAGCCGACGAGGCCACAACUGAAGACAUACCUACUUACACACACAUAUAUAUACAUGCCAAGUGUAUGGGCUGGAGAAUGAAACUUACAAAAUAAAACCGAGAAUAUUGUGUCCACAAUAGCCACUAUGAGUGACAUAAGAAUUGUCGGUACAAGGCCCCGACUAUACCCAAACUGUACAACAAAAGUAAACAUCUAUCCCUAUGAUAAGAUGGAGCUUACCAACUCACAACUGAACCCGAAUCCUAGCGGGUGGGUUGAUCAGAAUCCCUGCCUGAACCUGCUCGCACAAAACAAAAGUAGUGUCCCUAGGCAAUGGGAUGUCAGUACGAAUAAAAUUAUACUGGUAUGUAAAGCGGAAAGUAGAAUCAUAGAUAGUUACUGUAAAAGGGUAAUAGAGAUACCACCUGAAACUGAAACUCAAAUAAUCUCCAUGGUUGACAUUUGGCCUCCUACUAUUUAAAUAUGCAUGGUGUGCUCAUAUAAUCAUAUGUCAUGAAUAUAUAUAUAGAUAUAUAUAUGCAAAUGAUGACAUACCCAACCAAAUGCUAGCAAUGGUGGUGCCUCUCGGUAGUGAACCAACAUCAUAUUCGCCAACCUGUGGCCAUCAGUGUCUUAUAUGUAUAAAUAUAGGCAAUAGGCCCCAUACCUCCUGAAUAUAGCUUGGGAGUAGAAUGCAUAGCAUGUCAUUUCAUGGAUUUGUAACACAUAUACCGUUGUCUUGUUGCCAAUCUUGGCCCAUUUGUAGUCUUGUUCUCAUAACCCCAUAAUAACUUUCGUAUGACAUGCAACCAUCUCAUGGAACCUCAUAUGUUCUUCCAAAUAAGCUUGAAAACUUAACUCGAAUUUUAGAAAACAAGUUUAAGGUGAUUUAUAUAGUUCCUAUACUUGGUUCUGAGAUAGUAUAUAAAAGAAGUAUUUCAAAAAUCAAGUAUCCUAAUAGUUUAAGCAUUUAAGUUAUAUUUGAGAGUUUGGAAGAUCGUGAGUUACUUUAAAGAUUUUUCAUAAUAACUUUAGUGGGGAAAGAGGGGGGGUUACAUAUAAUAAGGGUCUCCCGUAAUAUUUUAAGUCACAUUACCCAAAGAAGAAUAUGAAUUCAUACAUGCGGACAUACAAUCAAGGAAACCGAUAAAAUGACAUGUAGAUGUCUAAUACUCUAUUUAUCCAAACGAGUGGAAUAUCAAAAUAAUAGAAUCAUGAAAAUAAUUCAGCUGGGAUCCCAAUGCCUUUCACAGAAGGUCUUUCUAGAAAGAGAAUAGCAAAAUAUCACAUUCGGCGUUUUAGGAAUUUUCCUGGAGUGGUGCUAAAAUGAAAGACAUAGCUUAGCCUCAACAUACCUUUCCAAUGAACGCUCGAAUGCCCGUGGUUUCUUCACGAAAAUUGUUCCUUACGUCCUAAGCUUCACAAACACUAUAUGUCUACAACUGGUACACACCUAUAAACAAUUCAUAAUUGAGCUUAUAUCGGCAGAUUUGCCAUAUGGCCCCAACUUUAUGAAACGUCCGUAGAACUUCAUAAAACAAUCAUAAAAGAGUCCCGAGAUGAUUACCUUAGCAAACCAAGUGUAAACCUUGAAGAAACACCAAUAGCUACCAAUUUAUAUCUUCAAAAACUAGCUCCAAACGCGGUUUAUACAAGAGGAAAAUGAUUUUACCGUGUAGAGAUCACGUUUCUAGGCACAGUGGCAACCUUUAAUGGUAGAAAUCGUCAAAAACUAACCUUCAUCGUGCAAGAACACCAUUAGAACCCUCUCUUCGGCUUUCUUUCUGUUUAGGUAGUGAAAAUAAAUGUUUUUAUGGCUUAAAAUGUCGAGUAAGCUGACAUACCAUAUUUUUGACCCGACCCGACCCAACCCGAAUCGCAACCUGGAUUCUACCCUGGCAGUCCGCAGUGAAACCCUCAUAACUUUUUACUACGUAGUCGAUUAGAUACGCGGUUUUAUGCGUUGCAAACUAGACUUGUAGGCAUUCAAUUUGAUAGGUCAUGGGCCUUAUAACUCUUUAUAUAUUGGAAGAAAACAUCCAAGAUAUUUGACCCAAAGUUAUGAAAAUAUUAUUAGAGAAACUUCGAUAACUUUUACCGCCCUUAGUUUCUCUAAUUUUCUUGACCUCAAAACUUGAAAUACGACCAUUGUGCUAUUAUAAUACCUCAUAACACACUAUUCUUAGUAUUUUAGACACUCACAGGCUUAUCCCCAAGGUAUGGGAUAAUUUAAACCUUUCAAACAAACGAAGUUCUACCCGAGCCAUUUCUAUAAUCUUGAACUUUGUUUGAGGGGUCUCUUUAACCUAAAACCUUAGUUUAGUUCCUUGAUAUUUCCACCCAAUUGCAAUCUUAAUAUCCAAUGUAUGAUACCAAGUCAUAUACACCUCAUAUAACCAUGCUAUACUACGCCACAUAUAUUAUGCAAGAAUAGAGAAAAAAUUACGGAAUCUUACACUUCAACACCUAUCUUGGCAUUACCUGAGGAUGGUGUAGCAUUUGUGGUAUUCUGUGUUGCUUCAGAUGUUAGUCUACGUGUAGUAUUAAUGCAAAAGGGGAGAGUUAUAGCCUAUGCUUCUUGUCAGCUGAAGGUACAUGAGAAUAACUACCCUACUCAUAAUUUUGAGUUAGCCGCAGUGGUCCUCGUUUUGAAGUUAUGGAGACAUUAUCUCUAUGGUGUCCAUUGUGAGAUCUUUAGCGAUCAUCGUAGCCUUAAGUAUCUCUUUUCUUAGCCAAAUUUGAACUUGAGGCAGUGUAGAUGGUUGUAAUUGUUGAAAGACUAUGAUAUCACCAUUGUUUAUCAUUUGGACAAGGCAAACGUGGUAACAUAUGCUUUAUUUCAGAGUGGGUAGCUUAGUUUUUCUUAAGGCGGAGUAGAGACCUUUGGCCUUGGAAGUUUAGUCAUUGGAUAGACACUUGGUUCGACUUGAUAUUUCUACACCUCACCAUGUUUUAGCCUUUGUUGAGGCUAGGUCUACUUUGAUGGAUCAGAUUCGUGCCCACCAGUUUGAGGAUGACAAGUUGUGAGUGAUUCAAGACAAAGUAUGGUGAAGCUAAGUCGGCUUCUCUUUAUCUCGAGGGAGUUUUGAGGAUUUCUGGUCAUAUUUGUGUGCCUAGAGUGGGUGGUUGGGUGUAUGAUAUUGGAAGAGGCUCAUUGUUCUAAAAACUCUAUUCACCCGGGAGCGGCUAAGAUGUAUCAUGAUUUGAAGCAACACUAUUUGUGGUAUGGUAUGAAGAGACACAUUGAGGACUUUUUGGCCAAGUGUUUGAACUGUCAGCAAGUGAAGUAUGAACAUCAAAGAACGGGUGAUACUAAGGCUGGACACCGGAUCGGGUUGUACUGAUACCUUUUCGGUCCAUUCCAGUUACUGUUCCGGUACGAUAGUAUUCGUGAGAGACUGGGAUACAUUGAACCGAUACUCGGAAUGAGACGAUUGUCACACCCUAACACUAGGUGAGACGGGCAAGUACCAUAUGAACAUAUGCUUUAAAAGUGACCUAUGAUAAGAAAGUAAACUACUAUGUAGAUAGAUUUACUGAUGAAAAGCUUCAUAUACAACACAUGUUGACUAGCAGAACUGAUACAUAUGACAAGUGAAACUAUGAAUAUAGAUGGUAGCUUUACAAUGUCUACAAAGAGUCUACUAGAAUCCAUGACUGUACCACUCUGAAAAUAUGUAUAGUAAAGACUCAACGAAUCCCCGAAUCAACCUGGAGCUCACCAACAACCACUAAGUAUCAUGUUCUUCUUUUGGGGAGAUCUACUAGUUGAGUAUCUACACCUGCAGCAUGAAAUGCAGCGUCCACAAUAAGGGACGUCAGUACGAAAGAAUGUACUAAAUAUGUAAGGCAUAAUACAACUAUAUGUAAAAUGAGAACUCAAGUGAAACCAAAUACCAAUAAAUAAGGAUUAGAGACCACCUUUGCUUAUACUCGUGGAAUCAUGUAUAUUAUAUUAUUUUCUUUACUUUUCUAUGGAUUAUAAUAUUUAUAAGACAUAUAAUACAAAUGACCAGCUGAUCAGCGGUAGAAUAGGAUGACUGAUGCUAGGCAUUUUAACCCCUGGGAUGCUAUCCUCAUAAUUCUAUAAAUUGGGAUCGGCCCAUGCUAGGCUUUCCCCCUUGAGCUGCUACCCUUCCAUACAAAUUGGGAUCGACCCAUGCUAGGUUUUCACCCCUGUGCUGCCACCCUUCUAUACCAAUAGGGAUCGACCCAUGCAAGGCAUUUUCCCCUGGGCUGCCACCCAUAAUUAUACAGAUGGCUUCACUUAAAUCCUUUAUCUUUGAGAUUGUUGUUUUGAUGUUCAUAACUCUUUUGAGAUUGUUGUUUUGAUGAUCAAAACUCUUUUGAGAUUGCUGUUUUGGUGGUUAUAAUAAUUGUUGAGAUUUCGAACUAUGAACCACUAGUAGAAGACAUGUGAAUAUAGACUUACGAUAAUAACAAUGACAUGAGAACAAAAUGUGACACCAACGUAAUACUUAGGAGCUUAUAUGACUCAGUAAGCAUUCUGACAUCUCAAAUUGAAGCACAUAUCAAGUGAAGACAUUUAACAUUCAGCCAAGAGAUUUGAACUCUAUAUGGUAGUCGAAUACUCACUAACUAAUAUCAAAUACAAGGUAUACAUGAAAGCGGAACCAAGGGAGAACGUGGGCAGAUUCAACUUAAGGACGGAUACGUAUUCGAAGUAAGUACAUAUAAAAUGUACAAUAGAGAAAGUAAGGAUCUUGUGAGGUAACAUUAUAGUCUAACACAAUGGGAGUAAUAACCAAUAAAGGGAACAUAUAAAAUUAUGACAAGAUGACAUAUAUAUAGACAAUUGAAGCAAGUUUGCAUGAUAUGGGAAGAUUGUAUAUCCAACAUAUAAACAUAUGUACCAUGUGUAAUCUAGGCUCAUUCUGAUUUAUAUAAGGGAUAUACGUGCCAAGGGUACUCUGACGAUGAACCAAGUUUAAACCUUGCAUGCUAAUAAUUGGUAGAGUAAACACAUAUAUUUAGUAAUAAACUCAUAUUAGAGUACUCAUUUUAAUGUUCUAGGGAGUAGGAACUGCAACUAUGGAUCAGUCACAACCAAGGACACUUAGAAAGCUUACUUUCGGAUACGUAUUCGAAGUAAGUACAUAUAAAAUGUACAAUAGAGAAAGUAAGGAUCUUGUGAGGUAACAUUAUAGUCUAACACAAUGGGAGUAAUAACCAAUAAAGGGAACAUAUAAAAUUAUGACAAGAUGACAUAUAUAUAGACAAUUGAAGCAAGUUUGCAUGAUAUGGGAAGAUUGUAUAUCCAACAUAUAAACAUAUGUACCAUGUGUAAUCUAGGCUCAUUCUGAUUUAUAUAAGGGAUAUACGUGCCAAGGGUACUCUGACGAUGAACCAAGUUUAAACCUUGCAUGCUAAUAAUUGGUAGAGUAAACACAUAUAUUUAGUAAUAAACUCAUAUUAGAGUACUCAUUUUAAUGUUCUAGGGAGUAGGAACUGCAACUAUGGAUCAGUCACUACCAAGGGCACAUAGAAAUCUUACUUUGUAAUACAAGUGUUGGAUUCAUGCUAAAGAAAGAGGAAAUCGAAUAGCCUUACAUACUGAUAUACCGUGAGUUUACGGUAUUUCUAAUACAUGUCACUUUCAAGUUGUGUGUGUCUAGGGACUUUUUAUAUUGGUUUUUAUGUGUUUUGAUCAUAUUUUGCAGGAAAGAUGUUCAGGCGCGGAAGUAUAGAGACAGCUGAAAGAAAUGCAGAAAAAGGGCAUUCACGGAGGUGAUCUAUGGACCGUAGUUCCAUUUAUGGUCUGUAGGUGAUGAUCGUAGAUCAGCAGGAACGGUAUGGAAGACAAAUCAGGGAAAUCUGACAAAGUGUGGAACCACGGUGGCCAUUGACGGUCCGUAGAUUAAUCUACGGACCGUAUUGUUGAUCCGUAGAUUGAUACUGCGAGGGUUCCAGUACCUGAUUUUUGAAGAUUCUAAGUGUGGAGCUACGGAGGGGAUUGACGGACCGUAGAUCGAUCUACGGUCUGUCCUGCUAGUCCGUUGUUUGCUUCAGAGAAGCUGAUUUUUGGAAGCUGAAAUAUUUUCUAAGUCCUGGCUGACGGAAGGGACUUACGGACCGUAGAUCCAUCGACGGUCCGUAAGUCAGUCUCGUGGAAUGAAGACGCGUACCUGAACAAACUUUCCUUAAUUUGUUUUCCUUUUUAUUUAGGUUUUUGUUUUAUAUAAAUAGGGCAUGUAAACCUAAUUUUUGUGGGUUAGACAUUAUUAUUCUAGUUUUACUUUGUGACUGGGGAGAUCAAUUGGAAAACCUAACAAUUAUUGAUUUCCUAAGUUCGUUUUGAAGAUUUUGGCUGUGCAAUUCAAGUUGAAUUUCUGGGUUUAUUAUUCUCUUUACGUAAGUUCAUGAUUUCUUCAUCUACAAUUAUGAAUUGUGUUCUUGCCAAUAUGAGUAACUAAAUUCACAACUAGGGUUGUGGGAACCAUGAUCGAUUAACAAAGUAUGAAUAGUAAAUAAGCAAUUCUUAAAUAGUGUUUUGCNNNNNNNNNNNNNNNNNNNNNNNNNNNNNNNNNNNNNNNNNNNNNNNNNNNNNNNNNNNNNNNNNNNNNNNNNNNNNNNNNNNNNNNNNNNNNNNNNNNNNNNNNNNNNNNNNNNNNNNNNNNNNNNNNNNNNNNNNNNNNNNNNNNNNNNNNNNNNNNNNNNNNNAUUACUAGAAUUACUGCGUUAUGAGCUUGUGGUGAACACGUAUACCCUAGUUAAUUUUCUCAUCUUGAUAACAACCGAAAUUGACUUUUGUUUAUUGAUUACUUACUGAAUUCUUACAAUUUGUUUCACAAAUUCCCCCUUUUAUUUCUUGUUUCUGGAAGUACUUUGGCUAAUUGAAUAUAAUUGUUGGUUAAAGUAAAGUCUAAACCAUUUUCCUCGUGGGAUCGACCCCAACCUACAAUUUGGGUUCUUUACUUGAUAACGAUCACUUAUACUUCUUUAAGGAGGUGUAAUUUGACCGUAUCACAUACCCUGCUAUACAAUUCAAAAUGUAUGACUUAAGCUCCUUCUCUUCAGAUUACUAAUCUACAAUCAAAUAAGUUGUAAGACUAGUAUUAGUAGCUUAUAAAUCAAUUUGAUCUACUUGAUCUCACCCAAAUAGUAAUGAAGCAGUAAGCAUGCAAUUUAUCUAGAUAGUGUUUUCUUUCCUUCCCUUUCCCUUUAAUCGCGUAUAUAUACUGUACAACCUUCGUAUCAGGUCCUCCUAAAAAAUCACUGCAAUAUUUAAGUCCUUUAAGGUCUCCAAAACUUCCCCGCACAUCUAGUCACAUCCCUUAUCAUUACAUACAUAAAACAAUGUAACAUAUGCAAUAUGAAUCAUGGUUUCUGAUCACUAGAACUUGAAAAGCUAACAUUACUUUUAAAUAAAGUGCUCAAACAAGCUCAUAACUGAAUUUAAAGAGGACUCCCCUCCAUGGCUGUCCCAAAAUCCACUAAUCACAAGAACAUCCUCCCCAAUAUUACACCAUGUAAAAGUAACAAUUUCCAACUCACUAACAUAUACCAAGUGUCCUAAUUAACUCAAGUACAAGAGGGAGAAAAUUGCAGUAGCUUACCUUGCUGGACAGAACUACCACUUGCUAAGACUUGGAUUCUUCAAGGUAAAGGUUGUCCUCCUUAACUUGUCUUAAAUUAUUCCUUCCAAUAACUUGAACUCCAUGAUAUUCAAGAACCCUAAUGGUAUUCAAUGGAUGUUGUAUGAAGCUAAGAGAGAAAGCUCUAGAAAUCAAAUUUUUUUGUUAAAGGAAAAAAUGUUGGAAAAAGGUGAUAUCAAUCCCUUUUAAAGAGACCUUCUUUGGCCGACUUUCUCACUCAUUUUGGGCCAUAAUUUGUCAAGUAGGUGACCCAUCUACUUGGACUUUUCACUUGGCCCUAUUUGGACUUAAGAACAUUGGGACUUGGAUGUCCAUUUCCCUUUAUUUUUCUACUCAACUUGGGCCAGAUUUAUGCAUGUAGGUGAUAGUGUACUUGGCCCAAUAACAUGGUCAAAAGAGUCUUAGAAGGUGAUGCACCAACUUGGUCCUUUGGGCUGGUCAAUAAGUCAAAGUAGGUGAUGAAGCUACUUGGUCCUUUGGGCUGUUCAAUAAGUCAAAGUAGGUGAUGCACCUACUUGUCACCUACUAUCUUAGUGUAGUCAAGCAAGCACCUCAAUUGUACUACUAUUGAUGAAUUACUGCAGACAUAUAUUAAAUGAAUCCUGCAGUAGCUCUAUUCGAUUUGAUGGAAGUUUAUACAUGUGAAUAAUGCUCUACUUCUAUUUUGUACUAAUGAUGUAGAUGAACUAGGUCCAUGUAUCUUCUAUCUAGGUAACCUUUCUAUUCCUCUCUUUUUUCUUGUUAUUAUCAGGACCAAAUAUCAAGAUUUGAAUCAGUACUAAAAUGAAUUCUCUAUCUAACAAAGGUUCACAAAGUUGUUCCCGGGUGCGCCAUAUUACUCGUUAGGAUUGAAAGAGUUGAUACCAUUUUAUUGCCUCAUACACUUAGCAACCACUCUUUCAUAAUCACCUAUCGCACCCCUCAAUAGCAUCGUCAUAUCACCCCUACUCCUAUGUUUAGGGAAUUUGACAUAUCCCAUAUCUUUCUAACGAGAAGCUCUACGUACAUAUUCGACCCGUGUAAUUCAAGCUUCAUUCUCACAUGCUUCCUAUCUAACAAGUACCUUUUAAUCAAAACUAGUAGCUUCAUGUUCUCUAAUCCCACUAUGUACAACCUGACUAAUCACAACUUAGGUCUAACCAAUCAAUUUUCCUUUUGUUAACCUUACACUUUAGUCACGUACUAAUCCUCCAUAGCCAAAACAUAGAUCAUAAUAGGAACUACCAUACAUAUAUCAUUUGCAGAAAUUGGCACACUUAUCUGUAAGUUUUAUAACCAUGAAAAAAAUACAAAUAUUAUUGGUACUUAUUUGGGGUUGUUGGCACAUACCAUAUAAAAGCCAAAUAUUAACAUAUUCAGGAUCAUAUAUAUGAUAAUUUGGGCCUUGUCAACCAAUUAGGGGUAUCUCUAGUAACAUUAUUGCACUGAUACUUCCACCUAUCAGAUUGUGCCACUGCCUUCUUCCAACUUAAAGAAACUUGUUCAAUAACAUCAAUUUUGAGAACAUGUGUAAUGCUGAAAAUUAUAUGUAUAUCACAGACUAAGAACAAGUGUCCUCUAUAGGAAUAGAUCCUAUAAAUAUGGAGGAAAUAUAGAACUCAAGAGUUGGAUACAUCCUCCUAAGAAGAUGUGCUUAGAAAUGGCUCAAAAAUGUAACUAUGUAACCUAUAAUUUUUUAAGCAUAUGGAUAACCAUACUAUAUCUUUCUCAAUCGAACAAACGUGAUACAAAUGCAACUUAAAAUGCAAAUAACAUAAAAGGCUUUACAUACCUUGUGGAGUGGGACGGUCAAAUAAAAUGAGCUUAAUCUAUUCUAAAUUUUGAUAACUUCAGAUCCUUUUCUUUAGGUUGCAAAUUGACAUUUUAGCUACCAUUAACCUUAACCAUCGUAAUCAUAAUAUGAAUAGCAUGAUCAGGUACAAGUGGAAAUUGACUUCUUAAUUUCGCUGUAUCACACGAUCUGGAUUAUGAAGGAAGGUAACUUUUAAUAUAUGUCCAAGCAACCCCCUAAUUAUAAAGGUGGCGCGCAACACAUUCAUAAGUAAGGUUCUACUAGACAUGGCUUUGUAGACUCCCUAGGACGAAUUGCUCUGAUACCACUUUUGUCACACUUCAACCCUAGGUGAGACAAACAAGUACCAUAUGAACACUUGUUUUAAAAGUGACCUAUGAUGAGAAAGUAAACUACUAUGCAGAUAGAUUUACUAAUGAGAAGCUUCAUAUACAACACAUGUUGACUAACUGAACGGAUACAUGUGACAAGUAAAACUAUGAAUAUAGAUGAUAUAUUUACAAUGUCUACAAAGGCUCUACUGGAAUCCAUGACUGUACCACUAUGAAAAUACACAUAGUAAAGACACAGCAAAGACCCGAAUCAACCUGGAGCUCACCAACAAUCGCUGAGUAUCAUGUGCUUUUUUUGGGGAGAUCUACUAGUUGAGUACCUGUACAUGUAGCAUGAAAUGCAGCGUCCCCAAUAAGGGACGUCAGUACGAAAGAAUGUACUAAAUAUGUAAGGCAUAAUACAACCAUAUGUAAAAUGAAAGCUUAAGUGAAACAAAAUACCAAUAGAAAAGGAUUAGAGACCAUAUUUGCUUAUACUUGUGGAAUCGUGUAUGUUACAUUCUUUUCUUUAGUUUUCUGUGCAUUAUAAUAUUUAUAAGACAUAUAAUACAAAUGAACAGCUGAUCAGUGGUAGAAGAGGAUGACCCAUGCUAGGCAUUUUAAACCCUGUGAUGUUGUCCUCAUAAUUCCAUAAAUUGGGAUCGGCCUAUGCUAGGCUUUCCCCUCUGAGAUGCCACCCUUACAUACCAAUUGGGAUCGGCCCAUGCUAGGCUUUCACCGCUGAGCUGCCACCCUUCUAUACCAAUUGGGAUCGACCCAUACUAGGCAUUUUCCCCAGGGCUGCCACCCAUAAUUAUACAAAUAGCUUCACUUAAAACCUUUAUCUUUGAGAUUGUUGUUUUGAUGUUCAUAACUCUUUUGAGAUUAUUCCUUUGAUGAUCAUAACUCUUUUGAGAUUGCUGUUUAGGUGGUCAUAAUAAUUGUUGAGAUUCGGAACUAUGAACCACUAGUAGAAGACUUGUGAAUAUAGACUUACGAUAAUAAUAAUGACAUGGGAAGCAAAUGUGACUCCAACGUAAUACUUAGGAGCUUAUAUGACUCAGUAUGCAUUUUGACAUCUCAGAUUGAAGCACAUAUCAAGUGAAGAUAUUUAACAUUCAGCCAAGAUAUUUGAACUCUAUAUGGUAGCCGAAUACUCACUAACUAAUAUCAAAUACAAGGUAUACAUGAAAGUGGAACCAAGGGAGAACGUGGGCAGAUUCAACUUAAGGACGGAUACAUAUUCCAAGUAAUUACAUAUAAAUGUACAAUAGAGUAAGUAAGGAUCUUGUGAGGUAACAUUAUAGUCUAACACAAUGGGAGUAAUAACCAAUAAAAGGAACAUAUGAACAUGUGACAAAAUGACAUAUAUAUAGAAAAUUGAAGCAAGUUGGCAUGAUAUGGGCAGAUUGUAUAUCCAACAUAUAAACAUAUGUACCAUGUGUAAUAUAGGAUCAUUUUGAUUUAUAUAAGGAAAAUACGUGCCAGAGUAAUUUGAUGAUGAAACAAGUUUAAACCUUGCAUGCUAAUACUUGGUAGAGUAGGCACAUACAUUUAGUAAUAAACUCAUAUUAGAGUACUCACUUUAAUGCUCUAGGGAGUAGGAACUGCAACUAUGGAUGAGUCACUACCAAGGGCACUUAGAUAACUUACUUUGUAAUACAAGUGUUGGAUUCAUGCCAAAGAAAUAGGAAAUCGAAUAGCGUUACAUACCUUGUUAUACAAUUCAAAACGUAUAACUUAAGCUCCUUUUCUUCAGAUUACUAAUCUACAAUCAAAUAAGUUGUAAGACUAGUAUUAGUAGCUAAUAAAUCAAUUUGAUCUACUUGAUCUCAACCAAAUAGUAACCAAGCAGUAAGCAUGCAAUUUAUCUAGAUAUUGUUUUCUUUCCUUACCUUUCCCUUUAAUCAUAUAUAUAUACUAUACAACCUUUGUAUCAGGUCCUCCCCAAAACUCCCUGCAAUAUUUAAUACCUUUAGCGUCUCUAUAACAUCCCCACACAUCCAGUCACAUCCCUUAUCAUUACAUAUAUAAAACAAUGUAACAUAUGCAAUAUGAAUCAUGGUUUCUGAUCACCAGAACUUGAAGAGCUAACAUUACUUUUAAAUAAAUUGCUCAAACAAGCUCAUAACUGAAUUUAAAGAGGACUCCCCUCCAUGGCUGUCCCAACAUGAACUAAUCACAAGAACAUCCUCCCCAAUAUUACACCAUGUAAAGGCAACAUUUUCCAACUCACUAACACAUACCAAUUGUCCUAAUUAACUCAAGUACAAGAGGGAGAAAAUUGCAGUAGCUUACAUUGCUGGACAGAACUACCACUUGCUAAGACUUGGAUUCUUCAAGGUAAAGGUUGUCCUCCUUUACUUGUCUUAAAUUAUUCCUUCCAAUAACUUGAACUCCAUGAUAUUCAAGAACCCUAAUGGUAUUCAAUGGAUGUUGUAUGAUGCUAAGAGAGAGAAGAGACAAAGCUCUAGAAAUAAGAUUUUUUUGUCAAAGUAAAAAUUGUUGGAAAAAGGUGAUAUCAAUCCCGUUUAAAGGGACAUUUUUUGCCGACUUUCUCACUCAUUUUGGGUCAUAAUUUGUCAAGUAGGUGACCCACCUACUUGGGCUUUUCACUUGGGACUUUUUGGACUUAAGAACAUUAGGCAUUGGCUGUCCAUUUUCCCCUUAUUCUUCUACUCAACUUGGGCCAGAUUUAUGCAAGUAGGUGAUAGUGUAAUUGGCCCAAUAACAUGGUAAAAAGAGUCUUAGUAGGUGAUGCACCUACUUGGUCCUUUGGGCUGGUCAUUAAGUCAAAGUAGGUAAUGCACCUACUUGGUCCUUUGGGCUGGUCAAUACGUCAAAGUAGGUGAUACACUUACUUGUCACCUACUAUCUUAGUGUAGUCUAGCAAGCACCUCAAUAUUUUUUUCCAUUUCUAGACUCUAAUACGUUUAACUUAACUUAAAACUUAUAUACACUAUGUCACUUUAAACUUUAGACUCAGAUACCACCUUAUGAUCUCAAGUUUAAAUACUUCCAUCGAUGUCAACUUAAUCAGGUCGCAUCAAAAUCUACAGACAGUUCACUUUACACCUAUUCUAUUGUCACUACUCGCAUAGGAAACCGAGUCCAUAAAUCACAAGGCAAAUUAUAAGCGUCAAAUAGAACUAGUACACCUAGAAUACGGGGUGUUACAUCCUCCCUCCUUAUGAUCAUUCGUCCUCGAGUGAUAGGUUAAGUUGAUAGUUUGGUUAACCUUGGAAUUUCAUUUGGAGAUUUACGAGAGUUCCCUUUGUAAAUAGGACUAUCCAAAAUUGAUAGACUAACCUAAAACACGGAUAAACAAGUCUAGCAUGACGUCUCAAUAGAUAUGGGUCAUGAAAUCAUAAUAUGACCAAUUAAACCCCUUCUUCACCAUGUAAUUCACUGAAGAUACACAAGUAGAACUCAUACAAAUAAGGACUUUAAUAUACCUAAACACAAGACAUGCAAAUGACAUAUCAAAUGAACAACUGCUAGUAGGAUUUAUGAUCAUAUAAGGGGACCACAUGAUCUCAGAUCCUUAUGUUGAUGUUUAGAAUGAGGAAGGGUAUUUAGGAUCUCUACCAUCUUCUAUUCCCAAGUAUCUUAUGUUUCUAUUCCUUCCAUAAUAAACCUUUUGAGCUUAGCUUCCGGGCCUUAACAAUCAAGAAUAACUAUAGUAUCUCCCAAUUUUUUUGUAUAUGGAACGAGCAGAUAAAAAUCAUAGGCCUAACUCGUUGGGGCUCUACUUUCCCUUCUCUUUUAUCUCAUGACGCUUUUCAGAGGUAAGUCUUACAAGAAUGCAUAGCUGUUAAUAUAAACUCUAAUGUUUUAUGUCGCACCUUCGAAUAAGGCAUUAUGCUAAGUUAUUUAUCUAUGGUUGUGAUAAAAUUUACAUAUAUGCCCAACCUUUUUUGGUCAAAAGGGAGAGCAUAAUAUACGGGCAUUAAGCUAUAGAAAUAUGUGGUGUACGCACGCAUAUGAACUAUAAGGUAGAGUGUGAGCGAAUGAGCUAUAAGGCAUGUAGGAAAUGGACAUGAUGAGCACAUGAUGCAUGAGUACUAAAGCUACAAAAUAUAUAAUAUGUAAGCAAGUAGACUAUAAGACAUGUAGACAUAAAAGAAAAUGAAUUACAGAACACAAAUAACAUCGAUCAAGUGCGUUAUAUCGCAUGGAUAGGUGGACUAACAUGUUAAUGAGUACACAUGAAAUAUGAGCAAAUGAGCACAUGACACAUGGCCAGAAAAGCUAUAAGGCCUGUAAUGUUUAAGCAAGUAGGCUAAGAGGCAUGUAAAAUAUAUAGAAAUGGUCAUAUGAUCAAUUAGCCUGUAGUACCCACACAAUAUGGACAAGUGACAUGAGGAAAGUAACCAGUGCAAUAGAUAACAUGUAGGGAAAAGGUCCUACGAAAACAUAUAGCAAUAAACAAGGGUGCUCCGAAGCGUAUAACACUUACAUGCACACAUCCUAUGACAUUAGGUAACCUGUGAGAAGGUAAUCCACAAAGGGCAAAUGACAUACAAAUAGAUAAGUUAUAGAACAUGCAUCAUGUAUAAUUAUAUAACAAACUAUCUUUGGAAACUAUGAGAUAUCCUAUAGAACCACUCUUCCAUAUUAAGGGUAAACACAUUGUCUUAAGCGUUAAGUCACGUGCGAGAUAGUUCUGCUCAUAUUCCUUACUCACCUCAAAGCACAUACCAUUGAUUUCCCUAUCUACUCUCUUCAAUCUUCUAAGAAUUCUUAUAGGUGUUCUUCUAUUGGGACUUGGCUUCCAUCUAGGUCAAUAUAAAUACUAUAGUUAAGAUAUAAAAAGAAAAUCUUCAAUAGUUCAUCUUUUGGAGUAGGAGAUCGAGGUCAACUUUGCCUUCGUUACUAGCUUGUGUUAUAUCACAGUCAAUGCCCGGUGCCAUUGAAGGUCGAAAUAGAAAAUAAAUAGCAAAGCGUGAACGCACCAUAAAAUAUAAACUCUAAUAACUUGUAAAUGUCAAGUACCUAUAAAGCUAUAUCAUGAUUCAUAAAAUCUUAUAGUUAGCCUCUUUUGGCUUAACUAGAUAAGUCUGGCCAUACUAAUAGAUUUUUUUAAAAAUAAAAACAAGUGAGGGUGCUCCGACUCUUUUCCCAAGCAAGAUAGUGAAUAAGAACAACUAGCAUAUGAUCAAUUUUUCCUCCCCCCUAUUGGACUAUGAUUGAUGAAUUGCUGCAGGCAUAUACUAAACGAAUCCUGUAGUAGCUCUAUUCAAUUUGAUGGAAGUCUAUACAUGUGAAUAAUGCUCUACUUCUAUUUUGUACUAAUGAGUGUAGAUGAACUAGGUCCAUGUAUCUUCUAUCUAGGUAACCUUUCUAUUCCCCUCUUUUUUCUUGUUUUUAUUAGGACCAAAUAUCAAGACUUGAAUCAAUACUAAAAUGACUUCUCUGUCUAGCAAAAGUUCACAAAGUUGUUCCCGGGUCCGCCAUUAUCACUCGUUAGGAUUGAAUAGUUGAUACCUUUUUAUUGCCUCAUACACUUAGCAACACCUCUUUCAUAAUCACCUAUCUCACUCCUCUAUAGCAUCCUCAUAUCACCCCCUACUCUUAUGUUUAGGGAAUUUGACAUAUCCCAUAUCUUUCUAACNNNNNNNNNNNNNNNNNNNNNNNNNNNNNNNNNNNNNNNNNNNNNNNNNNNNNNNNNNNNNNNNNNNNNNNNNNNNNNNNNNNNNNNNNNNNNNNNNNNNNNNNNNNNNNNNNNNNNNNNNNNNNNNNNNNNNNNNNNNNNNNNNNNNNNNNNNNNNNNNNNNNNNNNNNNNNNNNNNNNNNNNNNNNNNNNNNNNNNNNNNNNUACCCUUUAGUCGCAUACUAAUCCUCCAUAGCCAAAACAUAGAUGAUAAUAGGAACUACCAUACAUAUAUCAUUUGCAGAAAUUGGAACACUUAUCCGUAAGUUUUAUAACCAUGAAAAGAAUACAAAUAUUAUUAGUACUUAUUCGGGGUUGUUGGGACAUACCAUGUAAGAGCCAAAUAUUAACAUAUUCAGGAUGAUAUAUGGUGAGAAUUUGGGCCUUGUCAACCAAUUAGGGGUAUCUCUAGUAACACUAUUGCACUGAUACAUCCACCUAUCAUAUUGUGCCACUGCCUUCUUCCAACUUAAAGAAACUGGUUCAACAACAUCAAUUUCGAGAACAUGUGUAAUGCUGAAAAUUCUAUGUAUAUCACAGACUAAGAACAAGUGUCCUCUAUAGGAAUAGAUCUUAUAUAUAUGGAGGAAAUAUUGAACUCAAGAGUUGAAUACAUCCUCCUAAGAAGAUGUGCUUAGAAGUGGCUCAUAUAUGUAACUACGUAACCCAUCAUUUUUUAAGCAUAUGGAUAACCAUAAUAUAUCUUUCUCAAUUGAACAACCGUGAUACAAAUGGUACAAAUGCAACUUAAAAUGCAAAUAACAUAAAAGCCUUAACAAUACCUUGUGGAGUGGGACGGUCAAAUAAAAUGAGCUUAAUCUAUUCUAAAUUUUGAUAACUUCAGAUCCUUUUCUUUAGGUUGCAUAUUUACAUUUUAGCUAUUGUUAACUUGAACCAUCGUAAGCAAAAUAUGAAUAGCAUGAUCAGGUACAAGUGGAAAUCGACUUCUUAACUUCGCUCUAUCGCACGAUCUGGAUUAUGAAGGAAGGUAACUUUUGCUAAAUCUCCAAGUAGCCUCCUAAUUAUAAAUGUGGCACGCAACACAUUCAUAUGUAAGGUUCUACUAGACACAACUUUGUAGACUCACUAGGAUGAACUGCUCUUAUACCAUUUUUGUCACACCCCAAAACUAGGUGAGGCGGACAAGUGCCAUAUGAACACAUUUUUUAAAAGUGACCUAUUAUGAGAAAGUAAACUACUAUGCAGAAAAAUUUACUAAUGAGAAGCUUCAUAUACAACACAUGUUGGCUAGCUGAACCGAUACAUGUGACAAGUGAAACUAUGAAUACAGAUGAUAUCUUUACAAUGUCUACAAAUCCUCUAUUGGAAUCCAUGACUGUACCAUUAUGAAAAUAUGCAUAUUAAAGACUCGGCAAAUACCCGAAUCAACCUAGAGCUCACCAACAACCGCUGAGUAUCAUGUUCUUCUUUUAGGGAGAUCUACUAGUUGAGUACCUGUACCUGCAGCAUGAAAUGCAGCGUCCCCAAUAAGGGACGUCAGUACGAAAGAAUGUACUAAAUAUGUAAGGCAUAAUACAAUCAUAUGUAAAAUGAAAGCUCAAGUGAAACCACAUACCAAUAGAUAAGGAUUAGAGACCACCUUUGCUUAUACUUGUGGAAUCGUGUAAGUUACAUUCUUUUCUUUACUUUUCUAUGCAUUAUAAUAUUUAUAAGACAUAUAAAACAAAUGAACAGCUGAUCAGCGGUAGAAGAUGAUGACCCAUGCUAGGCAUUUUAACCCCUGGGAUGCUGUCCUAAUAAUUUCACAAAUUGGGAUCGGCCCAUGCUAGACUUUUGCCCCUAAGCUGCCACCCUUCCAUACCAAUUGGGAUUGGCCCAUGGCUUUCACCCCUGAGCUGCCACCCUUCUAUACCAAUUGGGAUCGAUCCAUACUAGGAAUUUUCCCCAGGUUUGCCACCCAUAAUUAUACAAAUAGCUUCACUUAAAACCUUUAUCUUUGAGAUUGUUGUUUUGAUGUUCAUAACUCUUUUGAGAUUGUUCUUUUGAUUUUGGUGGUCAUAAUCAUUGUUGAGAUUUGGAGCUAUGAACCACUAGUAGAAGACUUGUGAAUAUAGACUUACGAUAAUAACAAUGACAUGGGAAGCAAAUGUGACANNNNNNNNNNNNNNNNNNNNNNNNNNNNNNNNNNNNNNNNNNNNNNNNNNNNNNNNNNNNNNNNNNNNNNNNNNNNNNNNNNNNNNNNNNNNNNNNNNNNNNNNNNNNNNNNNNNNNNNNNNNNNNNNNNNNNNNNNNNNNNNNNNNNNNNNNNNNNNNNNNNNNNNNNNNNNNNNNNNNNNNNNNNNNNNNNNNNNNNNNNNNNNNNNNNNNNNNNNNNNNNNNNNNNNNNNNNNNNNNNNNNNNNNNNNNNNNNNNNNNNNNNNNNNNNNNNNNNNNNNNNNNNNNNNNNNNNNNNNNNNNNNNAUAUAUAGAUAAUUGAAGCUAGUUGGCAUGAUAUUGGUAGAUUGUAUAUCCAACAUAUAAACAUAUGUACCAUGUGUAAUCUAGGUUACGUGCAUGCUAAUACUUGGUAGAAUAAGUAAGCACGUACAUUUAGUAAUAAACUCAUAUUAGAGUACUCACUUUAAUGCUAUAGGAAGUAGGAACUGCAUAUAUGGAUCAGUCACUAUCAAGGGCACUUAGAAAUCAUACUUUGUAAUACAAGUGUUGGAUUCAUGCCAAAGAAAUAGGAAAUCAAAUAGCCUUACAUACCUUGCUAUAAAAUUCAAAACGUAUGACUUAAGCUCCUUCUCUUCAGAUUACUAAUCUACAAUAAAAUAAGUUGUAAGACUAGUAUUAGUAGCUAAUCAAUCAAUAUGAUCUACUUGAUCACACCCAAAUAGUAACUAAGCAGUAAACAUGCAAUUUAUCUAGAUAUUGUUUUCUUUCCUUCCCUUUCCCUUUAAUCACGUAUAUAUACUGUACAACCUUCGUAUCAUGUACUCCCCAAAACUCCCUAUAAUAUUUAAGUCCUUUAAUGUCUCUAUAACUUUCCCGCACAUCCAGUCACAUCCCUUAUCAUUACAUACAUAAAACAAUCCUUAAACAUAAUAAUGUAACAGAAGCAUUAUGAAUCAUGGUUUCUGAUCACCAGCACUUGAAGAGCUAACAUUACUUUUAAAUAAAGUGCUCAAACAAGCUCAUAACUGAAUUUAAAGAGGACUCCCCUCCAUGGCUGUCCCAACAUGCACUAAUCACAAGAACAUCCUCCCCGAUAUUACACCAUGUAAAAGUAACAAUUUCCAACUCACUAACACAGUGUCCUAGUUAACUUAAGUACAAGUGGGAGAAAAUUGCAGUAGCUUACCUUGCUGGACAGAACUACCACUUGCUAAGACUUGUAUUCUUCAAGGUAAAGGUUGUCCUCCUUAACUUGUCUUAAAUUAUAUCUUCCAAUAGCUUGAACUCCCUAAUAUUCAAGAACCCUAAUGGUAUUCAAUGGAUGUUGUAUGAAGCUAAUAGAGAGAAGAGAGAAAGCUCUAGAAAUCAGUUUCUGAGCUGAUGAAACAGACGAAAUUCCAUUUCAAAACUUGAAACUCCAGCUUUCUAAAAACCACUUUAACAACUUUAAACCUUUCAAAACUACAACUUUUCUGUCGAAUUUCAAAACUAACUUCAUAAAUUAACCAAACAUGACUCAUGACAACUAUCAAGAGGGAUAAAAAGGUAAUUUUCCAAAGAUUUUAAAAAAUGACCUUUCGGGUCAUUUCAAUUACGGUCAAAUCUCUUUAUAACACUUUCUCUAUAAGAACAAUGAAUGAUAGUUGAUGCGGUUAUAGAGAGGAUGCAAUUUUAUAUAUAUAUAUAAUCACUGAUAUGAAAUCAGGUUCACAAACCUUCUAUAAAUAUCCUAGGCCUUAGCAUUUUAUUCUCAUCACAUUUUACAUAUAGUUGAGCAUUACCUCACUGAAGUUAGUUUAACUAUUUUCUUUAACAAAUUAUAUUUUUUCACAUGAAUUGUUCCUAUACAAAUCAAUUCUCUCUUCAACAACAUCAUUUGUCUAGAUUUUUUUAGCUGCUAUAGAAAAUGUGAAAAUUGAUUCCAAUGAAAAUUGGUCAUUUUUAUGAAUUCACAUUGUUACACAAAGGCGAUUUGUAACAUCAUUUUCCCCUUGAUUGAUUAAUUAUAGAAAUGUACUAGUUUAUAUAUAUAUAUAGAGAGAGAGAGAGAGGGGGAGAGAGAGAGAAACUUCUCUAGAACUACAUAUUUGUCCGAAUAUUGUUUUGCCGGUUAUCAAAAAUGUAAAAAAAAUUCAUGAUAACAAUCAAGUUUUCACUUUUUCUAUAGCUGGAAAAAUAAUAUUUGGACAAAUAUAAAUAUAAUUUGCAAAAGAAAAUAAUUAAACUAACUUCAGUGAGGUGAUACUUAACUCUAUGUAAAAUGUGAUGAAAAUAAAAUGUUAAGCCCUUGGGUAUUUAUACAGGAUAUGUAAAAUUGAAUUUCAUAUGAGUUAUUAAAUAAUCUACCAUAAUAAAUUUAGAUCUUCAAUGUAAGGAAGAAAUAGAAGGAACUUAAUUAUUAUUAUUUUAUAUUUUUUAGAAGGUAAUUGUUGGUUUAAUAAAUAUUUAUUUCCAAUCAAUAUUUUGAGCAAAAUUCAUUUAGACACUCGAACUAUAAUUUAUUCUAAUUGAGGAACUAAACACAUGAUGUAUAAAGUUUAUAGAUGGUCAUAUAAAUAUGAGCUUUUACAACUAAAGUCACUUAACUAUUUUUUUUUAAACACAAAUAUCACAAAUUUUACCCUUACUAACACAAAAUCACACUAGCCCAACUAUCGAUUGGUAGUUUUUUUUUUGUAUACUUUUUAAAUUUAAAAUACAAAUUCAAAUAAAAAACCCAAUCUGAUCUAACCAUAUCCGAUGGAUACUAAUAUUUUAAUUUUUUUUAAUUGUAUAAGACAGUAUGCAAAUAUUUUCUCUUAGGAAGCUCUAUAUUUCAACCCUUUGUCUUACCAAGUCCUCCUUUGACUUGGGCAAUGAAGCUUAAUCCAUGAGGCUACCUGAGUGUCUUAUGAGUUUUACACAUAAUAAGUAUAAAUUUGAGGUCUAAGUUCCACGAUCGAUAAAAUUGAAAGAUGGAUUUGGUAGGUGAGUUACCAGGGAUUCAAUCUCAAGUCCAGAGGUGAGAUUUCCAAGACUAAAUUGUUUGGUAGAAAGAUUGAUAGCACAUGUAUUAAUUUUUAUCAAGUGUUUGAUUCAUUGCUUUCUACCUAAUCAUGUGUUUGGUUCAAAACUCUAUAAAAAACUUCUUUUCAAUUAUACUCUUGAAUUAUUAUGUGAUUUUCUAUUCCAUGUAUAGCAUUAUGAAAUAUUUUCAUGUCCAUUCCAUUGGUGAGCUUUUAUUUAAUUUUCAAGAACUUUUCAAUACACAUAUUCAGAGCCAUUUGGGAACAAGAACAAAAGAAAAGAAGAAAAAAAAGUCCAAACCUUGUUAGAAAAGUAAAUAGUUGGAGGCUAAUAGUGAAGAUGAUCAAUAAUUAAUCCUACACAGUUACACCUUCUCUGUAACACCUCAGAUUCGAGAAAGACUAGAAAAGGGUCAAACAGGAAAGACACAAGCCCAAAGAUGGAUCAUGGAACCCUCCACGUAGCCCUAGAAGGUCCAUGAAGGGGACCAUAGUUCGUUAAUGGGCUCGUUAUGUCUCCCAAAACCUGCCCUAGGCAGGCUUCACCUUGACGGACGCCCAGACGGCCCGUUGUGAUGUUGGCAGCAUGUCAAAUCAGAAGGGGUUCUGCCCUAGUCACUGGUCAAGCACCGCAGACAUCUAAAUGACUCGUGAAACCCCACAUAGACCAUGAAGUCAUCCGUGAAGGGAUUUAUCAGACUUAGAUUUUAGGGCCAACUUCAAACGAUCAUAUAUUUUAGCACAAAAUGAAUUAAGUGGCCCAUGACCUACCAAAUUAAAGAUCACUGAGUCUUCUUUCCAAUGCCACCGAGUUUGCCUAAUUUCAAGCUCAGAGUAAAAUUAUGCCUAAAAUAGUGAAGCCCUAUCAGGCAGAGUUUCUUCACGACCCAUUAGACGGGCCGUUUAGGUCUCAAAGUUUCGUUAGCUUUUGAGUCAGGGGAUUUUGGAUCUUUUUUUCAAUUAUUUUAACUCAAUACUACGUCAUUUUACCUUCUACCCAAAGCCCUAUAUAAUGAUUUUUACCCCCAAAAUCACCCAAUUCAAUUUAUUCUUCUAAAAUUCCAAAAGUUGAACAAGUUAAUCCUCUCAAAUAUUUCUCUCUCUAAUGUUUGAAGAAGAAGGCUAGGGUUUCCAGUCUAAUUUCCAAUUUCACCAUUGCUUUCCAUAUUUUGACAUCUAGGUAUGAUAGUUUUCACCUAUGGAUUCCUUUUCUCCAUAGGGUUCCUAAAUCCUCCAUUUUAUAAAGUUAGAUUCCUCAAUCAAGUUAGGGUUUUAUUUAGCUUCCACGGGUUCCUUUCAAUGUUGGUUUAUGUCUUCUUAUGCAUGAAUUGAAUAAAUCACAUGUUUUAAGUUGAAUCCCCCACGAAACCAUGCAGGACCCAUGAUUUCUAGACUUUGAUGAUAUGGUAUGGGUUUUGAACUAUGAAAGAUGAAUUUAUGAAGAUAUUCACGUUCUUUAUGAAAUUGAUAAACAAUGAUUUAAGUUUCUUUGAGAGUAAAGCAUCCAUAUUGUUGUUGUGAAAGGAUUUCUCACAUACACAUGAAAAACAUGAUUGUGAAAGGGUUUUCUCACGUAAAGGGUUCUUAGGGUUGAAAGGUUUUCUCAACUAAACUUUGAAUCAAGAUUUAGGAGCUAUUCUAAUGAAACCUAUCUUGGAUUGGCUACUUGAUGUGCCUUCCAUGGAUGAUAAGGUAAGCGACGAUUACCCAUGCCUCUAUAUGAUAAGAAAAGUUAAGAUAAUGACUAUUCCGUGGGAUUUACACUUAACACCGAGAGGAUAUUGAGAUGGAAGUACUCCUGUAGCUUGAGGUCGGGUUUCUAGUAGCAAUUUCCUUAUCCCAUACCUAUGUUCCCCCAUAGGAUAAAUGUCUUAGAUAGACAUUAGCUAGUGGAUCCACGUAAGCUAGAAGUUCAUGGUCUUACCUUGGGAAGUAGGACACCCUUUUUUGGUGUGGGGAUGUCACCGAAUUCCAUGUUAAUAACUCAAAUGGUCUUAGAUGUUGGUUAAAGGUAAAUUUCCCACAAGAAUGAACUACAGUUACUUCUAGAAGUAUCUCACGAAUGUUUUAAAUAUGUUACCUUGCAUUGUCCAUGUUUUACAAUUUAUGUUUUCUAAGCCUUUUAUCUCCUGAUUUAGCUUGGUCAUUGCAUGUCACGAAAAUGUCCUUUUUAGCAUAAUUUUAUAACUCUAUGCAUUGCUAUCAUACUUCGUACAUUUUUGUACUAACAUGUACUCUUGCCUACAUUCUUAUAAAAAUGUAAGGUCUGACACUCCGAUUUUGCAUCCCCGUGGCUAGAGAUCGCCUUAGUAGAUAUUGAAGAUUGGCGAGUAAUCAUGUUCUGAGGACCAAACUUUUAUUUCUUAUAGUCCCUACUUUUCAGUAUUGUAUGUGAUGUGCGGGUUACAUCCCUAUCACUCUUCAUGUACUAAAUGACUUUGAGACUAUGUUAGACUUCCUCUAUAUUUUAUAAACACUUAUGUUUUGAAAUUGUCUUAUAAACUCUCUAAAUUUUCUAUUAUCUUGUAUGAUGUAUUUCAUGUUAUGCCUAGGCCAUGUUUUGGGUCGUGACAAACUUGGUAUUUAAAGCACAAGGUUUAGAAAGGUCCUAGGAAGUCUCAUAAGUCACGUUAAGUAGAGUCUUGUUCAUGAGUGUGAAGUGCGCCACAUUUAUGAAUGAGAAACUAUAAGAUGUUUAGAAAACUCCACUUCUUUCAUUACUCAAAGUCAUGCGAUAGAGUGUAACUCUAUAUGUCCUUUCUCCUAAUCCUGAUCCGAUGCUUUUCAGGAUAUGGACCCUCGAAGAGAUUACGUUAGGAGGAAGGCGAAUGAGAAUAUGGAACGAGAAGCUUCUCAAGUUCCGGUCGACCCUUUGGCCGAACAAGUGACUAAUGCGGAGUUUGUCCAAGCCAUAACGGCUCAAGCCAAUAGGGAGGUUGUGGUCCCUGUGAACCCAAAUGUGGAUAUGACUACAACUAGAGUGAGAGACUUCACUAGAAUGAAUCCUCUGUAGUUUCAUGGUACUAAGGUUGAGAAAGACCCUCAAGAGUUUAUUGAUGAAAUGUAUAAGGUGUUGAUGAUCAUGGGAGUGACGCCGGUGGAAAAGGCGGAAUUGACCGCUUAUCAACUUAAGGAUGUUGCUCAAAUAUGGUUCAAUCAAUGGAAAGAAGAGAGGGUAGAAUAUACGGGUCCUUGAUUGGAAAAAGUUCAAAGUUGCUUUCCUUGAUAGGUUUUUCCCACUUGAGAUGAUGGAGGCAAAGGUAAUUCAAUUCAUCAACCUUCGUCAAGGAAACAUGAGUGUGAAAGAAUAUGCUUUGAAGUUCACAAAAUUGUCUAAGUAUGCUCCUACUAUGAUUGUCGACCCUAGGGAAAGGAUGAGUAAGUUUGUUUCGGGCAUGUCCGAGAUGGUGGUCAAGGAAUGCCGUACCGCCUUGAUUAUCAAUGAUAUGGACAUUUCUCAUCUUAUGGUUCAUUCUUAACAAAUAGAAGAGAAGAAACUUAAGGGAAGAUCUAGGGAGACAAAGAAGGCAAGGACCGGUGAUGGUAACUUCUCAUAUUCAAGGUCCGAUGUACAUGGUUGAAUGAAGUUUCGACAAAGGUUUUCCAGUCAAAGUUCCUCCAAUGCUCCUCCUAAGUUCAAUAAGGAUAGGGUGUCUAACCCUAAGCCUCAAGGAUGGAAUGGUGGUGGAUCUUCAUUGUCUACUUGUACUAGGUGUGGAAGGAAGCACGAGGGUAUGUGCUUAGCCAACAUUGAUGGUUGCUUUGGCUUUGGUAAAAGUGGGCAUUAAAUAGGGAAUUGUCCAUCGCUUACGUCUAAGGGAAGAAAAGGUAAGAAAGCUUCACCUAGUGGUUCAAGUUUAAGUGCUUCAAAGAAAAACCGAUUAUAUGCACUUUAGACUCGUCAUGAUCAAGAGGGAUCUCCCGACGUUGUUAAUGGUAUGUUGAAAGUCUUCCAACUUAAUUUUUAUGCUUUACUUGACCCUGGUGCUACCUUGCGUUUGGUGACGCCAUAUGUGGCUAUGAUGUUUGAUAUUCUUUUGGAUGUGUUGUUAGAUCCUUUUUCGGUCUCCACUCCAGUUGGUGAUUCCAUUGUGGCUAAGAGAGUCUAUAGUAGGUGUCUCGUCUCCUUAUCCCAUUGAGUCACUCAUGUUGAUUUUGUAGAGCUUGAUAUGUUAGAUUUCGAUGUUAUCCUUGGUAUGAAUUGGCUGCAUUCAUGUUAUGCUUCUAUUGAUUGUAAAACCCGAGUAGUCAAGUUCUUAUUUCCAAAUGAACCCAUCCCAGAGUGGAAAGGGGGAAAUUCUAUGCCUAAGAGUCAUUUUGUUUCUUGUCUUAAAGCUAGAAACAUGAUUUCUAAGGGUUGCAUAUACCAGCUAGUUAGAGUGAGAGAUAUGGAUUCCAAAACCCCUACUCUUGAGUCGGUUCCCAUUAUAAAUGAGUUUCCAGAAGUGUUUCCUGAUGGUAGAAUAAGAGAUCUUGAAUUCAAUGUGAAUGAUUGGUUCUACUUGAAAAUUUCACUCGUGAAGGGUGUAAUGAGAUUUGGAAAGAAAGGAAACCUUAGUCCCCGUUAUGUGGGCCCAUAUCAGAUUUUGAGGUGUGUUUGUAAGCUUGCUUAUGAACCUAAUUUACCUAAUGAUUUGGCAUCAGUUCAUCCGUUUUUUCAUGUCUCCUUAUUGAAGAAAUGUGUUGGAGAUCCGACAUCUAUAAUUCCCUUAGAAGGUUUGGGAGUUAAGGAGAAUUUUUCAUAUGAGGAAGUUCUAGUUGAGAUUUUAGACCGACAGGUUAAGAAGUUAAGAAACAAAGAAGUUGCUUCCGUAAAGGUUCUAUGGAGAAAUUAGUUAGUUGAGGGUGCUACUUGGGAGGACGAGGCCGAUAUGAUGUCCCGUUAUCCUCAUCUCUUUCCCUUAGUCCCCACUCUAGCAUGAGGUAUCCAGUUCCUCAUGGUUUACUCUUUUGGUUUCAUUUGUCUUAGAUAUUCCAAUGAUUCCUCAUUUAUGCAUGUUCAUGAAAAUAUUUGAUUUUGUGGAAAUGAGUUAAUUUGAUUGAUUUCUCCAUGUUUAUGUGUAUUUUAGUAUGAGUUGCAUAUGGACUUCAUGAUAUAAUGUUUUGAACAUGUUUUAGCUUGGAGUUGAUGUUUCCUCUUCGGAUAUGUGCAUUUAUGUGAUUGCAUUUCAUGUUAGGCUGUUAGGUUAAGUUCCUACCCUCCUUAUGAUGUCUUGAAUCUCAUUCAAGGAUGAAUUUUCCCAAGGUGGAGAUAAUGUAACAACUCAGAUUUGAGAAUGGCUAGAAAAGGGUCAAACAGGCAAGUCACAAGCCCAAAUGUGGACCAUUGAACCCUCCACAGGGCUCUAGAUAGGCUAUGAAGGGGACCACAGUCAGUUAAUUAGCUCAUGAUGUCUCCCAGAACCUGCCCCAAGAAGGCUUCACCUUGACGGAUGCCCAGACGGCCCAUGGUAAUAUUGAUGGGUCAUCAAAGGGGUAGUCAAGUGGGUCAAAUCAGAAAGGGUUCUCCCCUCGUCAUUAGUCAAGGACCACAGACGUCUAAACGUCCCGUGAAGCCCCACAUAGACUGUGAAGUUGUCCGUGAAGGGGGUUCGUUAGACUUAGAGUUUAGGGUCAACUUCAGACGAUCAAAUAUUUUAGCACAAAAUGAAUUAGGUGGACCAUGACCUACAAAAUUGAAGACCUCUGAGUCCUCUUUCCAACGCCACUAAGUUUGCCUAAUUGCAAGGUCGGAUUAAAACGUUAUGCCCGAAUUAGUGAAGCCCUGUCAGGCAAAGUUUCUUCACGACCCGUUAGACGGGCCAUUUAGGCCUCCUUGAAAUUAUUUCGUCAGCUUUUAAGUCAGGGGUUUUUGGGUCUUUUCCCAAUUAUUUUAACUUAAUACUACGUCGUUUUACCUUCUACCCAAAGCCUUAUAUAAUGAUUUUUUACCCCAAAAUCACCCAAUUCAAUUCAUUCUUCUAAAAUUCCAAAAGUUAAACAAGUUCAUCCUCUCAAAUAUUUCUCUCUCUAAAGUUUGAAGAAGAAGGCAAGGGUUUCAAGUCAAGUCUCCAAUUUCACCAUUGAUUUCACGAUUUUGGCAUCAAAGUAUGAUAGUAUUAACUUAUGCAGUCCUUUCCUACAUAAGGUUCCUAAAUUCUCCAAUUUUGUAAAGUUAGAUUUCCCAAUCAAGUUAGGGUUUUAUUUAAUUGUCAUGGGUUCCUUUUAAUAAACUCUUAUGCUUUGAAAUUGUCUGUUAAACUCUCUAAAUUUUGUAUUAUCUUGUAGGAUGUAUGCUAAGUGGCUUGUGUAGAGCCUCUCGGGGUCCUAUACGCCAUGUUACGCCUAGGCCAUGUUUGGGGUCAUGACAUUCUCCAUCGCCUUAGAAAAGAAAAUCCCACCAAAGAAAAAGAAAAGGCACCAAAGUAGAACAACGUGUGUUUCUUUAUCAAAUUUGAAGAUUGCAUAAUGAAAUUGAGGGGCAGUUUAAUCAUUUUGUUGCCUUAUCCAAGUCUUACUAAAACUUGGUAGUAGUAAUCCCUAGGUAUCCUUGGUAUUAGGUAAGACCACAUAUGGUGUAUUAAGGUAUCCAUGUAUUAAGUGUGUUUGAAUGGAAUUGUGCAACCAAACAUUGUAUUGGAUCAACUAAAUUUUAAUCCAAGGACUAUUUUAAAUAAUACAUCCUACAUUUGACUCCUACGUAUUCAGAUUCCAGGUUCGAAUUUAUUUUUAAAAUAUGAAUUAAAAUGCUCUUAGGCACUAUUCCUAAGAUAUUUCUCUCUCCUACUUCUUAGGAAUGCAAACACCUUUUCUGGUGGUUCUAGUCUAAAAUUAAACACUUUUCUUAUGAACCCAUUCUUCUUCUUUUCAGAUCCGAUUAGACAGUUUCUACACAAAGAUGGGGUACAAUAGGAUUUUCUUCAAUACAGGUUUUAAGUCUAUUGACAUCAAAAGUAGACAUUUGAUAGUGCUAUCAAGUAUGAUGGAUGGAAAAAGUCGUAAUAUGAUGAGAAGAUCAAACAAUUGGUAUGCUUUUUGAUGUGGAGAAUUUGGCAUAAGAAAAUAUCGAUUGGUGAACUUUUGAUGAGCUUGAGAAUUUCAGAUUUCGUACAUUGUUGUUGUAAUAAUAGUGUAAAUGAAUCUUUUGAUCAUUUAUUCAUCAAUUGUACUAUGUCUUCUAGUGUGUGGAAGUUUUUUGCAAAGGUUGUUGGGAUUCAUGGAGCAUUUGUAUAGCUCAAGCAUGUGAUUGAAUUAUGGUGGAAGGUAGAGUGUGUAGCUAAGCUUAAACCUUUAUUCAAAGUCAUGCCUUCCGUCAUCAUUUGACAUAUAUGGAAGAUGAAAAACUUGAUUAAACAUGGGAACAAUGUCUAAAAUGGCCAUGAUUUUGAGCAUCAAUAGGCAGUUGGUGUGGUUUGCUAAGCUAAGAUAUCCAUGGAUGGUUGACAUUUCUAGUUCUAGGGCUGAAUUGAUCAGAUAUCUAGAGGAAUAUACUCUAGUAAAUUUGUAGUGUUGAAAGCUCCUAAUAGAAAUUGUUUUAAGUGCAAUACAGAUGGUGCUAGUAGAGGUAACCCAAGACCUACCUCUCUAGAUUUCUGUAUCAAGAAUUGGGAAGUAGAUCUACUGUAUGUUGCUGAAGGAUUGUGGAGUCAUUGAAAUAGAAAUUAAGGCUAUUAAGAAUGGUUUAGAAUAUUAUUUAUCUAAUGGACUAAUACCUAUAUCCAUUGAAACUGAUUCCUUAAUAGCUAAGAAGAUUUUGGAUGGGAUUUUUGGGAAGUUCCUUGGUUGAUCUAAGUUGAUGUAAGGGUAUCAAAGACAUAAUGAUCAAUGAUCUGGAUGAGAUUGUUUACAUAUACAGAGGAGGAAUCAACUUGCUGAUUUUUUUCACUAACCAUGAUUUUAGUUUUCCAUGUACUACUACUAUCAGAUAGUUUCAUCAUAUACAAGAACUCCUACAAAACACAAAGGAAAUUCUAUUACUGGAAUAACACAAGUGCCCUAAUUUGAGAAUCAGGAAAUUUCAAAAUAGGGCUUCUAAUCAUGGAAAAAUAGUCACCAAUUAAUUUUGUUACAGUAAUUACAAGGAUAUAGCAGAAUCAAUAACACAUUCAGGAGCUAAGAACAAUCACAACGGUUUCAGGUUCUAUAAAUGUUUGUGAUAAUAGAGAUGAGCUUUUAUCUAACAGUAACAGUCGAUAACAUUGUGGUGAGUUGAUACCUUGAAUCCUAGAUCUGUUGCAGUGGUAUUAGCUUGUUGUAUUUCAUUCUGUAGAGGUUGAAGACUCAAGGUGUAUGAACUCAUCUAUGGCUCACUUGUUUUCGAUUGGAUCUGGG